GCAGAAGCAAAGAAAAAACCCAUAUAUAGAGGAGACAUGGUGUCUGGAAUGAAUGGUGGGGCCCUCCCUGCCCAAGGCCAGGAUAAACUGGGGUGAUUGUCUUCCAACAGCAAGAGGUUAUGAAGGAGAUCUUGACUGCAAGAGGUGCAAAAGGAGGAGGAGAAAAAGGCAGAGGAAUCCCUCACUUCAAAUGAGAUUAUGAAGAUGUGUAAAAUGUGGGCA
RNAcentral lists this long non-coding RNA (222 nucleotides) under Fukomys damarensis (Damara mole-rat). Its description in RNAcentral is "lncRNA (ENSFDAG00000026534.1)". The record is from RNAcentral. Lineage: Eukaryota; Metazoa; Chordata; Mammalia; Rodentia; Bathyergidae.